This 378-nucleotide unclassified non-coding RNA is filed under the name plant metagenome. RNAcentral's name for it is "partial contains 5.8S ribosomal RNA, internal transcribed spacer 2, and large subunit ribosomal RNA". The stretch from base 1 to 105 matches the Rfam family "5.8S ribosomal RNA", at positions 50 to 154 of the family's 154-position model. The record is from RNAcentral.
GAAAUGCGAUAAGUAAUGUGAAUUGCAGAAUUCAGUGAAUCAUCGAAUCUUUGAACGCAUCUUGCGCUCCUUGGUAUUCCUUGGAGCAUGCCUGUUUGAGUAUCAUGAAAUCUUCAAAGUAAAUCUUUUGUUAACUCAACUGGUUUCUACUUUGGUAUUGGAGGUCUUUGCAGCUUCACACCUGCUCCUCUUUGUUCAUUAGCUGGAUCUCAGUGUUAUGCUUGGUUCCACUCGGCGUGAUAAGUUAUCUAUCGCUGAGGACACUGUAAAAGGUGGCCAAGGUAAAUGCAGAUGAACCGCUUCUAAUAGUCCAUUGACUUGGACAAUACUUUUAUGAUCUGAUCUCAAAUCAGGUAGGACUACCCGCUGAACUUAAGC